This 497-nucleotide ribosomal RNA is filed under the name uncultured bacterium. RNAcentral's name for it is "partial 16S ribosomal RNA". It matches the Rfam family "Bacterial small subunit ribosomal RNA", at positions 28 to 507 of the family's 1533-position model. The record is from RNAcentral.
GAUGAACGCUGGCGGCGCGCCUAAUACAUGCAAGUCGAGCGAACAGACGAGGAGCUUGCUCCUCUGACGUUAGCGGCGGACGGGUGAGUAACACGUGGAUAACCUACCUAUAAGACUGGGAUAACUUCGGGAAACCGGAGCUAAUACCGGAUAAUAUAUUGAACCGCAUGGUUCAAUAGUGAAAGACGGUUUUGCUGUCACUUAUAGAUGGAUCCGCGCCGCAUUAGCUAGUUGGUAAGGUAACGGCUUACCAAGGCAACGAUGCGUAGGCGACCUGAGAGAGUGAUCGGCCACACUGGAACUGAGACACGGUCCAGACUCCUACGGGAGGCAGCAGUAGGGAAUCUUCCGCAAUGGGCGAAAGCCUGACGGAGCAACGCCGCGUGAGUGAUGAAGGUCUUCGGAUCGUAAAACUCUGUUAUUAGGGAAGAACAACUGUGUAAGUAACUAUGCACGUCUUGACGGUACCUAAUCAGAAAGCAACGGCUAACUACGUG